RNAcentral lists this long non-coding RNA (5019 nucleotides) under Olea europaea (common olive). Its description in RNAcentral is "long non-coding RNA (OEUR_LNC001247)". Lineage: Eukaryota; Viridiplantae; Streptophyta; Magnoliopsida; Lamiales; Oleaceae. The record is from RNAcentral.
GAAAAGAAGCAUACUAAUGAAAUAUCGUUUAAUUUCAUUUUCUGAUCAUAUAUUAUGAUUUUUGAAUUUUGUAAGCUAUCUUUAUAUUUCAUGAUAGUUGUUUUACUUAUCUUAUGCCUUUUCUGGAAGGUUGACUGUAAAUGUACUUUGACGUAAAUGGACUGGACUAUAUAAUAUAUGUCAUAGUAAGAACUAAAACUUUUACUUGAAUGUAACUAGAAUUUUAGUGGAUAUGUAAAAUUAUUCAGCCUGCUAUUGCUUUUUAAUAUAUUAUAGAAGUGUAACUCAUGUAUUGACUGUAACUGUUUAUCGUGUUUAUGUAUUGUGUACCUUUGAUGCUCAAAUUCUUCGAAAUGGUCGGAGUACCCGUGUCGGACACGACAUGACAUGGGUAUGAGUAUGAGAUAUGUGUUGGAUCCUCUAAAUUUCAACUGGACACUUCAUCCUUUUUUUUUCCCGUUUCUACACUCUAUAAACCUAGAGAUGCCUCUGAGAGGGUGGAGAAAGGCUACGGCACUAGAUUUUUCCUUCUUCCUUUUUUCUUUCCCUCUCUGUAUUAGCAGUUUAGGGUUUUAUUUGUAUAAAAUGAAAAUGGGUUCUAUAUAGUGCUAUUUAAUGCUCCACCAAACUUAACAAUGCAUGAUAGUGUGUAUGAAAGUACUGUCAUGCAAAAUAAUAAUAAUAAUAAUAAUAAUAAUAAUAAUAAUAAUAAUAAUAAUAAUAAUAAUAAAAAAUAAAGCCCUAACUUCCCAGUAAAUCAGUAAAUGUGUUUGAAGCCCUGAACAAUGGAAUUUGGCACAAAUUAUAAGAGUUCAGAGGUUUCAUGCCUGACUUUUGCUCAUUCACCUGUUUUUGCUUGGAAAAUGGGGUCAUUCGCCAAAAGCUGACUCUGUUGACCGAGAAUGAGCUGCUGUCUGAGACUGCUCAUCACUCAACCCAAUUCUAUUGAGUGGGACUGGGCUAUUGUUCAAGACUGGGCUAGAAUUAGUCCUAAAGGUCAUGUUAUUAAACUGCAUUUGGGCUGCAAUAUAAUGUCCAAAUGCUUCAAGUACUGCCACUAGAGAACACCAAAUAUGCUUCUCCUGUACCUUCCUUAACCUGUAAAGUGUAUUAGAAACAUGUCCUUUGAAGAACAAAGAAUUACACCUACCAUAUUUGUAUUUUCAAAGUCUAUUCCACGAUUCCAUUCCCUUGCAUAAUCUCUUUGCUUAAAAUGAUGAUUAUACAUCUUAUUAGUCUUCCACAUCACAUGCUGAAAAAUGGAAAGCUGUUUGUUAGUGAAUGCAUGAUUUUGGAGGAGAUAUGGUUGUUUUCCUGACAAUUGCUGGAUAAAUUUAUCUUUUAUUAUUAUUUGUUAUAAAUAUUUCUGUCCUGGAAAUUUUUAAUUCUAAAAAAAUGCGAAAUUUACUAAGAUAUCAAGGUUCCAAAUUCUAUGAACUUGAUGGGUGGAAGAUAAAUAAUUAGACAGGGUAUACAAGAGUAUAUCAGAUAAUUCCUCCCUAUCAUUAAGAUUUCACAAAAGAUUGUGAGUACUGAGACAGAGAUAGAACAUCAGUUUGUGUAAAAAAAUGAGUUAUAUGCAUUAAGGAAAGAAGAUACAUAAAUCUAAUGGAAAAUGGAGAUCUCCCUGCAAACAUAUUCCUUGAUCUUAUGCACAUUUACUUCAUGUAUUGUGGCGUUGGUCAUAGCUUCAGCUUUACAAUAAUAAACAGUCAACUCUUAUUCUCAAGCUUCAUUUUUUACUUUUUCUGAUACAGGUCUUUAACAACAGCCCAGAUGAGACAGCAUAUUUUCGAAUGAUUCUUAACAGAGAAAAUGUUGCUAAUUCAGUUGUAAUGAUUCAACCCUCAUUGAUCUCUUAUUCUUUUCAUUCUGGACCAGAACCUGUUCUUCUCGAUGUGGCUUCCAUUGCUGCUGAUAGAAUCCUUCUUUUAGAUUCAUAUUUCAUCAUUGUCAUAUUUCAUGGAUCAACUAUUGCUCAAUGGCGAAAAGCUGGAUAUCAUGAACAGCCUGAACAUCAGGUAACUAGAUGUAAAAAGUAAUGGCACAUGCAUAACCUUAUCCUCAUGACACUUUUGAAGGAUAAUUCAUUAGCAUUCAACAGUAAAACCAACACAAAAUAAUCAGACGACAGGAAGAGGUGCCUGGUAUCAAGCAUUAAUUUGUAAAGGUUGAUGUUGUAAAGGUUUGAAUGAAAGAAUGGGUAAUCUUUUAUCAGAAAAAAAUAAGUAAAAAUAAAAAUGGAAGGGUAGCAAUCACUUCCUAAAUUCCAUAUGAACUUUGUUGAUUUUUAUUAUUGCGACUGGUAGACUUUUUUGUGAGAAAUAGUCAAAUAGAACCUUAAAACUCAUCACAGUUUAUGAAGCCUUGGUUUUUGUGAUGUAAAUGGUUGCAAUCUCUUGGGGGAUAUUGCUCUCUCAUUCAAAAUAAAUAAAGGUAAGAAAGGUGCAAUACUAAAGUCUUGCAGCCUUAACCAUGUAAUGCAAAUGAUCCUAUUAAAAAUGUUCCCUUAAUUUUUUCCUUGAUUUUCAAAAAUAUCUAGAUUGCAAGAUAUUAUAACUUUUACCGUUAAUCAAGGAAAAUUUUAUUCUGUAGAUUACUAAUUUUUAUUUGAGCUCUCAAUUUUUAGGACACAUGACAUGGGUAUGAGUAUGAGAUAUGUGUUGGAUCCUCUAAAUUUCAACUGGACACUUCAUCCUUUUUUUUUCCCGUUUCUACACUCUAUAAACCUAGAGAUGCCUCUGAGAGGGUGGAGAAAGGCUACGGCACUAGAUUUUUCCUUCUUCCUUUUUUCUUUCCCUCUCUGUAUUAGCAGUUUAGGGUUUUAUUUGUAUAAAAUGAAAAUGGGUUCUAUAUAGUGCUAUUUAAUGCUCCACCAAAUCCAAAUUGCAAUGAAGUCCCUCAUUUUCUAUUUUACAUAACAUUUUAAUAAUUAACUUCUCAUAAUUGAAAAUUAAACCCCAAAAUUCUAUUUUAUUCAUCUUAGCCCCUUAUUCAAUACUCAUUUCAUUCUUUGUGAACAAUUGAUUUUGGUAGCCCCUUAUUGAGUGGGGUGUACAAGAUUAUCGUGAAGAUCUUGGCUAAUAGACUAGAGGAGGUGUUGGAGAAAAUGAUGUUUAAGUUUCAAAAUGCUUCUGUCAAAGAAUGUCAGAUUUUGGAUUCUGUACUUAUAGCAAAUAAAUGCAUUAACUCAAGACUGCACCUAGGGGUUCUAUGAAUGUUAUGUAAGCUUGACAUUUAGAAGGCUUAGAUCACAUAAACUAGGGAUUUCUUUCGUAUAUGCUCAGGUAAUGUGGUUUUGAGGAUAAGUGGUGUUAGUGAAUUCAGUUUUGUAUCUCUACAGUUUCUUUCUCAGUUAUCGUAAACGACACUUCAGAGGGUUAUUUUCGUAGUAGCAGAGAAUUGAAGUAAGAGAUCCUUUGUCUCAAUUGCUAUUUGUCAUUGUAAUGGAGGCUUGAGAAGGCAAUGGGGGAGAGUUUGUUAAGGGGCUUUAUGGUUGAGCAGACGCAAGUAUCUCAUUUGCUAUUUGCAAAUGAUACGCUGAUCUUCUAUGAUGUAGAUGUUGAGCAAUUUAGUAACCUACAUCGUUUGCUCCUAUGUUUUGAAGCUAUAUCUUGAUUAAAAAUAAAUAUGGGGAAAUUUGAGGCUAUAACAGUGGGAGAGGUCGAUAACGUGGAAGAGUUGGCUGCAUAUCUUGGGCUUCUUUUAUGAGCACGGUUUAAAAGUGCACAUAUUUGGAACAAUAUUGUGGAAAUGAUGGAGAGAAGGCUAGCGGGCUGGAAGCGUAUGUACCUCUCAAAGGGAAGCCAUCUUACUCUCAUAAAGUUUACAUUGUCGAAUCUCCCUACUUAUUUUUUGUCAUUGUUUCCUAUUCUUACGAUAGUGGGAAAAAGAUUAGAGAGGAUCUAUAUGGAGUUUCUUUGGGAGGAUUAGGGAAGGAGAGGAAAUUACAUUUGGUUAAUUAGGGUGUAGUUUGUUCCCCCAUAAGAUUGGGUGGUCUCAGACUGAGGAAUCUCGUACUGUUCAAUAAGACCUUGUUGGAUAAGUGGUUGUGACAAUUCGAAGUGGAGAGGGAGAGUUUUUGGAGAAAAAUUAUAAGGGCAAAAUAUGGUUUUAUGGAAGGGGAUGGUGCUCAAUUGAAAAUCGUAGUUCUUAUGGGGUGAGUUUGUGGCAGUGUAUUUGGCCAGGGUGAAGCGAUUUUCGGGAUAAAUUGACUUUUGUAGUGAGAAAUGGUUAUACCAUUAGUUUUUAGGAUGAUUUGUGGAGAUCAACCGCUAAAAGUGAGAUUUCCUUCUUUGUAUCGUACGUACUGUGUUGGAGCCGUCUACCAUGGUGAAUGAUGUCUUAGAUAUACAUAAUGGGAGUUCCAAUUGGAAUAUUGUGUUUGGCCGGGGUUUGCAAGAUUGAGAAUUGGAUGAUUAUGAUUGAGAAUUAGAUGAUUAUGCACUGUUUUUGAUGUCUCUGUACGAGGUACACAUUAGGGUUGGAGAGGAUGAUUGUAGCAGGUGGAGGUUGACAAGAGAUUUUUUUUAGUUGACAUUUAUUUUAGAUCUUUAUUGGGACUUCUAGAGAAUUCGUUUCCCUAGAAGAUGGCAUGGAGAUGUAAACUGCCUCCACGGUUGACAUUUUUACUAUGGACGGUGGUGAGGGACAGGUUUUAACGGUGGAUAAUUUUUGAACAAGGCGUUUUUAUGUUACAGAGUGGUGUUGUACGUGUAAGAGAGAUGAGGAGAUGAUUGACCACUUGUUCCUUCAUUAUGAUAUUGCUCGUUUAUUGUGGUAUGAUAUUGUGGCGCCCAACACAUGGAUUGAGUGUUGCCUAGGCGUAUGGAAGACGUGUUAAAGGCAUAAAGGAGAAAGUUUCGGGAUAAGAAUAGCAAACUUGUAUGGGACCUUAUCACGAGUUCCAUCGUAUGGUGCGUGCGAGGAAACAAAACAGUUGUUGUUUUGAUGAUCGAACACGGACAACAGAGUAGAUUAGAGAAUAUUUGACAUUAUAUGCUUGGUUUAAUAUUGCGG